GAUAUUUUGGUAACUGCGAUUGCAUUUACUGUAGGUUAUAAUUUAAUUGCUACAAUUAAUUAUCUCAGUAUUGCAUUCGCAUAUCAUGAUGACCCAUAGUGGAACCCAAUAUGGCCAAACAAUGAUCGACAAAUUAGACCUAUUUAAAAUGGCUAGUAUGGAAAACCGUAUGGUUAAUUUGGAAAACCGCAUGGAUGAUAGGUAUGAGGAACUUGUCAUGUUAUCUGGGAGGGUUCGAGUUGUUGAGCGACGAACACAACAUUUAUCUGAGCCUGUAGGAGAAAAUGCAUGAAAUGAUUGCAUCCUCGUUAAUGAAGAAAUACCUGAGGGAGAACCUGAGCUGAAUAGGCAAAGGGAACACCUUGAGCCUAGAAAUGUUAAGUACCAAAACCUUGAGCCUCGACAUAUUGAUUACCAUGAGAGGCGAGACCGUAGACAUCAAGACGUCGGGUAUGGUGAACGUAGGGAUGAUGUAUAUCGCGAACCUAGAGAUUAUGGGUACCGUGGACCUAGGAAUGUCGACCAUUGUGACCGAGUAUGAUGAUG
This 546-nucleotide long non-coding RNA is filed under the name Panax ginseng (ginseng). RNAcentral's name for it is "long non-coding RNA (PGIN_LNC002528)". Lineage: Eukaryota; Viridiplantae; Streptophyta; Magnoliopsida; Apiales; Araliaceae. The record is from RNAcentral.